This 451-nucleotide ribosomal RNA is filed under the name uncultured bacterium. RNAcentral's name for it is "SSU rRNA". It matches the Rfam family "Bacterial small subunit ribosomal RNA", at positions 26 to 522 of the family's 1533-position model. The record is from RNAcentral.
AGAACGAACGCUGGCGGCAUGCCUAACACAUGCAAGUCGAACGAUGCUUUCGGGCAUAGUGGCGCACGGGUGCGUAACGCGUGGGAAUCUGCCCCUUGGUUCGGAAUAACAGUUAGAAAUGACUGCUAAUACCGGAUGACGACGUAAGUCCAAAAGAUUUAUCGCCGAGGGAUGAGCCCGCGUAGGAUUAGCUAGUUGGUGAGGUAAUGGCUCACCAAGGCGACGAUCCUUAGCUGGUCUGAGAGGAUGAUCAGCCACACUGGGACUGAGACACGGCCCAGACUCCUACGGGAGGCAGCAGUGGGGAAUAUUGGACAAUGGGCGCAAGCCUGAUCCAGCAAUGCCGCGUGAGUGAUGAAGGCCUUAGGGUUGUAAAGCUCUUUUACCAGGGAUGAUAAUGACAGUACCUGGAGAAUAAGCUCCGGCUAACUCCGUGCCAGCAGCCGCGUAA